RNAcentral lists this ribosomal RNA (460 nucleotides) under uncultured soil bacterium. RNAcentral describes it as "bacterial SSU rRNA". It matches the Rfam family "Bacterial small subunit ribosomal RNA", at positions 26 to 466 of the family's 1533-position model. The record is from RNAcentral.
AGAUUGAACGCUGGCGGAAUGCUUUACACAUGCAAGUCGAACGGCAGCACGGGACUCAGGCAACUGAGCCCUGGUGGCGAGUGGCGAACGGGUGGAGUAACAUAGUCGGAACGUACCCAGUCGUGGGGGAUAACUCUCCGAAAGGAGAACUAAUACCGCAUACGUCCUGAGGGAGAAAGCGGGGGACCUAAGGGUAACUGAGGGCCUCGCGCGAUUGGAGCGGCCGAUAUCGGAUUAGCUAGUUGGUGGGGUAAAGGCUCACCAAGGCGACGAUCCGUAGCGGGUCUGAGAGGACGACCCGCCACACUGGAACUGAGACACGGUCCAGACUCCUACGGGAGGCAGCAGUGGGAAUUUUGGACAAUGGGGGCAACCGUGAUCCAGCCAUUCCGCGUGAGUGAAGAAGGCCUUGGUUGUAAGCUCUUCUGCAGGAACGAACGGUACGUACGUUUAAUAAAGU